Long non-coding RNA from Triticum dicoccoides, 1051 nucleotides. RefSeq lists it as uncharacterized. The transcript has 5 exons. The record is from RefSeq and is a predicted model, not a curated record. NCBI's taxonomy places the organism in Eukaryota, Viridiplantae, Streptophyta, Magnoliopsida, Poales, Poaceae.
AAUCCGGCGCCUCCUUUCCUCCCCCAGUCACCUCUCCUCCUCCUCCCACAAUCGCCCCCAUCUCCUUCUCUGUCUCCACUUCUGGUUGGGGCACCGUCUCCUCUCCACCCCGUGCCCCCCUCUUCCCACUCCGCCACCUCUGCUCUGCUGCACCCCGCCGCUCCGAGGACCAUCGACGAGGUGAGGACAGCGGUGCCAUUGGACCCGCCGACCCGGAGCCCGCGCCCUCCUGACCAAGCACCGUCCGCCUCCUCCCCCUCCUGUCCACGCUCACAGUUGUCCCCGGCCACACCGGCCGCCAUCGCAUCUUCGCACAAAAUGCAAGCUCGGCUGAUGGAUUGCAUACUAUUUGGCUGAGUUGUUUUGUUCUAAAGAUACAAACGAGCUGAAGACUUCUUUUGUAUGGAAAUUCACUAUGGAAACCAAAAUAAUGGAUACUGAAUCAACAGUUACACGAAAGUUUGAUGUCGUGUGAUUAGCAGAAACUGAAAGAAAUAAGCAUUAGUCCUCUGAGAAGAGGUUGACAUUAUAUGCCCCUUCAGUGCUCGCUUUUGUCUUCCCCUGAUGUUCAUCGUCUCAAGGCUACUGACCUAGGAGUAGUCAUAUGCAAGUUCUGGUUAUCGCCCCUAUCCUCUUUCCUGCAGUCUGUACUUCCUGCUCAAUUUGGAAUGCAUGAUCAGAGAGAUAUGGCGAGGGAGGUGGCGAGGAAGUCGUUGGUGAUCUUGAAGAAUGGCAAGACGCCGAGCGAUGCACCGUUGCACCAACUGCCCAAGAUGCCGAGCGACGCGCAGCUGCUGCCGCUGCCCAAGAAGAUGACAAGCACAAAUGAUGGUUUGAUCUGUGUGCAGUUGCAUUGUUUAUUUCUUAAUCAGGGGAGAUCAUUUUUAUUAAUUAUUUUGACACGAACCCUAUGCUUUUUGUCAAGAGAUUGUUUUUGUAGUUGCCUAUUUAUUGUUAUCUACCAUUUUUUAAAUCUUCUGCAGCAUAGCAUGUGCAGUACUAUACUCCUAUUAUGCAAAGACUUCGGGAGGAUUAGCAGUUUCAAAUUCUA